CUUGCCAUCAAAGUGACUUUUACUUGGUUGGGAAUUGAAAUGAGGAUUUCUCUGGACAAUCAAAGUUAUAUUUCACAAUGAAGACUGCAUAGAGAACUUCAAUGAAUCUGUUAUGAUCACCAUUUCCUAUCGGACUGUCAUGACGAACUUGGAGAGAUACCAUCCAGGAUGCAGGUGUUCGGGUCAAACAAGAGAAAAGGAAGUUCAAAGGCAUUCCCUCCCACAACUCCUAAAGCUGUAAUGCCAGCACACUGUGUCAUGGGAAGUCUCUGAAACGCCCAUGCGAGGGUGUAGUCACCCACUGAAACACUCAGAUGUAUUUCACAGCAGCUGCAAGUGAAAAAUGAAGGGAUUGUAUUAAUUAGUCACUGAAAGAAAAUAAUUUGUUCAAGUAUAUUGGCCAUGCUCAAUCAUACAAAAAUCCUAUACUUUGCAUUCUAUUAAGCAGACAUUAGGUUCAUCAUCCUAUCUAGCUUUUUCUUGUGACUUGUAGUAGAAGGUGUUCAUUAUGCUCAUGCUGUCUUUUUAGACCUGCAAAACUCUUGAAAUUGCCUAUGUCCAUGGUGUUCUCAAGAAAGCUAAACUUCUUUAAGCUCUCUCAGGGUAAAGAGUACUGAAAUUAAUUCUUCCUCUUCUCCCUAGAGACCCAGGACUUGUGUGAAUGUAAUGAAACUUGCUAAGAUUUCUGUAUACAUCAUUAAGCAGCUCUGUGAAACAAUUAUGUUAUCCCUCAACAGUAUACAGCUAUCAGUCCUAACCAAACAAGUAGGCAGCUUCUCUACUCACAUCAGGGGGUGAUCUAUAUUGAGAAGGUUUGCUUUUAUGAGUACCAUUUGGACUGCAGUGUAAUUGAGAUGUAAUGCAUUAUUGAGAUGUCAUCUUAAAUACAAGCCAUUAUGUCAUGUAAUAACAAUUGUUGCUUGGGCCAUAGGCGCUGCUGCUAACAGUGUUACCAUGUGAGUAGUAAUUACAUACAGUGUGGAAACAGAAAACAUUAAAAGUGGCAAUAAAACAAAGUACAUCCAAUAAGUA
Long non-coding RNA from Pogoniulus pusillus (Red-fronted tinkerbird), 1032 nucleotides. RefSeq lists it as uncharacterized. Lineage: Eukaryota; Metazoa; Chordata; Aves; Piciformes; Lybiidae. The record is from RefSeq and is a predicted model, not a curated record. The transcript has 2 exons.